This 75-nucleotide transfer RNA is filed under the name Erysipelotrichaceae bacterium. Its description in RNAcentral is "tRNA-Arg". It matches the Rfam family "tRNA". From Rfam's summary of the family: Transfer RNA (tRNA) molecules are approximately 80 nucleotides in length. Their secondary structure includes four short double-helical elements and three loops (D, anti-codon, and T loops). Further hydrogen bonds mediate the characteristic L-shaped molecular structure. tRNAs have two regions of fundamental functional importance: the anti-codon, which is responsible for specific mRNA codon recognition, and the 3' end, to which the tRNAs corresponding amino acid is attached (by aminoacyl-tRNA synthetases). tRNAs cope with the degeneracy of the genetic code in two manners: having more than one tRNA (with a specific anti-codon) for a particular amino acid; and 'wobble' base-pairing, i.e. permitting non-standard base-pairing at the 3rd anti-codon position. RNAcentral also lists the same sequence under 1 other name. The record is from RNAcentral. Lineage: Bacteria; Bacillati; Bacillota; Erysipelotrichia; Erysipelotrichales; Erysipelotrichaceae.
GGCCCCAUAGUCUAAUGGAUCAAACAAUCCCCUCCUAAGGGAUAGUUACAGGUUCGAUUCCUGUUGGGGCCGCCA